UCCGGUUUAACACCGGCAGUCUCCAUAGAGUGCCCAACUGAAUGAUGGCAACUAGGGAUAAGGGUUGCGCUCGUUAAGGGACUUAACCCGACAUCUCACGAUACGAGCUGACGACAGCCAUGCAGCACCUGUCUCCCGGCCCCCGAAGGGGAAGCCCUAUUUCUAGGGCGGUCCGAGGAUGUCAAGCCCAGGUAAGGUUCUUCGCGUUGCAUCGAAUUGAACCACAUGCUCCACCGCUUGUGCGGGCCCCCGUCAAUUCCUUUGAGUUUUAACCUUGCGGCCGUACUUCCCAGGCGGGGUACUUAAUGCGUUAGCGUCGACACUGCAGGGGUCAAUUCCUGCAACAUCUAGUACCCAUCGUUUACAGCGUGGACUAC
This 377-nucleotide unclassified non-coding RNA is filed under the name uncultured Oligoflexales bacterium. RNAcentral's name for it is "contains 16S-23S intergenic spacer region". The record is from RNAcentral. Lineage: Bacteria; Pseudomonadati; Bdellovibrionota; Oligoflexia; Oligoflexales.